This 364-nucleotide ribosomal RNA is filed under the name Escherichia coli. RNAcentral describes it as "bacterial SSU rRNA". It matches the Rfam family "Bacterial small subunit ribosomal RNA", at positions 607 to 970 of the family's 1533-position model. The record is from RNAcentral. Lineage: Bacteria; Pseudomonadati; Pseudomonadota; Gammaproteobacteria; Enterobacterales; Enterobacteriaceae.
GCUCAACCUGGGAACUGCAUCUGAUACUGGCAAGCUUGAGUCUCGUAGAGGGGGGUAGAAUUCCAGGUGUAGCGGUGAAAUGCGUAGAGAUCUGGAGGAAUACCGGUGGCGAAGGCGGCCCCCUGGACGAAGACUGACGCUCAGGUGCGAAAGCGUGGGGAGCAAACAGGAUUAGAUACCCUGGUAGUCCACGCCGUAAACGAUGUCGACUUGGAGGUUGUGCCCUUGAGGCGUGGCUUCCGGAGCUAACGCGUUAAGUCGACCGCCUGGGGAGUACGGCCGCAAGGUUAAAACUCAAAUGAAUUGACGGGGGCCCGCACAAGCGGUGGAGCAUGUGGUUUAAUUCGAUGCAACGCGAAGAACC